RNAcentral lists this long non-coding RNA (5675 nucleotides) under Hordeum vulgare. RNAcentral describes it as "long non-coding RNA (HVUL_LNC002395)". Lineage: Eukaryota; Viridiplantae; Streptophyta; Magnoliopsida; Poales; Poaceae. The record is from RNAcentral.
GAGAAUUGAACUCGGGACCUUUUGCUCCCUAAGCAAAUAUCCUACCACUAGACUAAAUCCCCAUCUGUGUUGUACCACUGCAUCACCUUCAUUGGAGAGCUUCAGGCAAGAACACACUAGAUGCCAAAUUUGCAGGACCUUACUAUCUGUCUUCAGCUUAGACCUGCAUCAUGUAUCAGAAGUUCAGAACAACUGCCAACAGCAACAGGUUAUGCAUGUUUAAUUAUCUGCUUGUUCUAAUUUCAAUCCUCUGAUGCUGUAUUACGGAAUAUAGCAGCAUUAUUAGACUUUACUUCUAAGAGGAAGUGUUAGACCUUAGAAGACAAGUAGAAUAAACGCUGCAGUUCUAGCUAAUUAACUAGCUCGAAAGCAUAAAUUACAUCUCUCAAGUAUUAACGGCAGCUUAGAGCCCAGGCAGCAUAACAGGUGACUGCAGCACUAUUCACUGGGAAAGAGGCAGCUUUAAGACAUAAUAUUGCUUGCUCUGAACUAAUACUCAAAAAAGAUCCAAACACCGGUGUUUUAUACAAGUCCAAUGCGAUUAUAGUUAGUAAAAGGGCAUGACUAGGUCUAAGUCGACUAAGACUUAACCAAGUCUUUUUUUUAGAAAAGAAGGAAGACCCCCGGCCUCUACAUCUGGACGAUGCAUGCAGCCAUAACUUAACCAAGUCUUAGUCAAGUAAUAUACUCCCUCCGUCCCAAAAUAACUGUCUUAACUUUGUACUAGCUCUAGUAUAAAAUUAUAUUAAGCUUAAGACACUUAUUUUGGGACGGAGGGAGUAGCAUAUAAGAGAGGUAAAAGAAAAAUCUGAAAAGAAAAUUUUGCACAUAUCUCAAUGUAAGAUCUCACUUACAUGUAUAUAGAAUCGGUUGAGACAUUACCCACCACCAAAUUUAAUCUUAUUAUGUGGUCUGUGAAAUGCUCAGCCCAAAUACUGGAGAACAUCUCGAUAACUCAGAUGAAGUUAAUAUCAGUAGGUCUAUCGUUACAAAUACUUUCAUACUACUGAUUUGCAAUGCCGUUUACCAACAUGUAUUUGUAAACUGAGGCAGUAUGCAUUGAAGAUCACGAGUGAAUUCCCAGAGUUUCCACCAGAAUGACUACUCACCGCGUUCCCUCCAUUUCAAAUAUAUGCCCAUAUUCAUGGAAAGCCAUGCCGUCCAAUUGGGAAAAUCAACAGUGUAGUUAUUCCAAUAUCUCCAACCUGUACACUUGUUAUAUUGCCGUGACAUGGGUUGGGUGGAAAUAAAUAUAGUACCCCUCCUUCCUACUCCCUCCAUUCGAAAAUACUUGUCAUGAGAAUGAAUGUAUUUAGAUGUAUAUUAAUUUUAGAUACAUUCACUUCUAUUAAUUUUUUAGACAAGUAAUUUCGGCUACAGAGAAUAUAAUGUAUGGCCAUAUGGAGUGUCAAAAAACAUCUUAUAUUAUUGAAUGGAGGGAGUAUUUUACGUCCAUUUAAAAUACGAACUUGUCCAGCACGCUCACUAUCCAUGAACUCACAAAUAAUUAAUCAAUGAGAAAACAACUCGUCCAGUGUGCUCACUUCGGUCCAACUCUCAACCAAACGAGGCCAGGUCAAACGAUUUUACACAUAUGGGCCGGUAAGUCAAAUUCAUAUAAGAAAUAAAAAAGUAGAUCUUGACUAUCAGUUCUCAUAAAACUGAUUUUUUAAAAUUUGUUUGUAGAUGCUAAAAACAAAAAUUGCUCUCUACCAAGAGAUUUUUACUUGUCAGUCAGGAGACAUUGUAAAGGAGUUGUGUAUAAAACUGAGAAAAGGUGUUGAUUGGCAACAAAAAUUAAUAGGAUCUAUUGCUGGUAGAAUUACACUAGUGGGGACAGGGCCUUUAGUCCCGGUUCACCAACCGGGACUAAAGGCCUAACCUUUAGUCUCGGCCCUGUUUCAAGCCGGGACCAAAGGUGCUUCACGUGGCCGCCUCGGAGGGAGUACCUUUAGUCCCGGUUCUACUUACGAACUGGGACUAAAGGAUCCGUCUGUUUUUUUUUUGUUUGACCAAAAUUUUAUUUUUGAAUAUUUUUUAUGUUUUAUUCCAAUUUUCUAAUCUCUAAUCACCCAUCCUCACUGCUCUAGCGUGGAUCACUCAUUUCAAAUGUCUAACUUCCCGGCCGAUCACCCAUCCUUUCACUGCUUUAGCCCGAGCACGCUUAACUUUUUGGUUCUAUCGCCCCUAGUUGCCAAGUGUGCACUUGUUGUUUUCUUGACAAUAGUAAGCUAUCAAUCCUAAACAACUUGGGUCUUGAUGUCAUGUCACAUGAUUUAAUUUUUUGAAUUACAAACAAUUAUUAAAAUAAACUUAAUAAGUAACAAUAAUAGUGAAUUUCAAUAAAAACAACCUAAUAUUUUUAAAUAAAUUUUUUUUUGUUUUUGGAAAAAACUUUUUUUUUGAAAUAACUUUUUUUCCAUUUGGAAUUUUGAGCAUGUGAGAAAACUUCACCGGGCAAGCCCGGAUGAAAUCGAGUACCAAUUUUUUCUAGUUUUUUUUAUAUAUUAAUUUUUUUUGGACGUCGUAUGCAAAAGUUAUGGCCGUUUAUUUUUUUUUUCCUUUUUUUGCAAAAACGGUCAAAAUUCAUAUCUCAAAAUUUCUAUACCGACUAGACACUAAAACCUAACAACAUCUCAAAGGAUUUUAUUUUUUGAAGAUUUUAUCAUUUUUGUUUAUUUUUUGAAGAUUUUAUCAUUUUUGUUUAUUUUCUACAAAACUCAAAGUAUCAAGGUUUCAGACGAAAACCCAUCUGCUACAAAGGCAUUUUUUUAAAUUAAUUGAACUGUAGAUUUUUUUUGUGCAUUAAAUAUGCACCAUACUACAACAUGUUAAAAUCUAUAGAAAGAACUAACUAAAAAUAAUAAAAAACAACAAUUAAAUGACUAAAACAACUAUAUAAGCAAAACAAUAUUUCUUUAAUUAAAAUCCUAAUUUAAAUUAUUCGAAAAAUAACCAAAUAAAUCUUAUUGUGACAAAAAUCUAACACAUGAGUGGGAGCAAAAAGAAUUAAAUUAAAAACUAUUUGUAAACUCAAGUUAUUCAAAAACUGGGUUUGAAGCAAAUUUAAACAAAUUCAAAUUUAAACCAUUCAAAUUUGAAAACUAAUAGCACAAACAGAAACUAGACAAAAUUUUAAAUCUAAUGCAAAAAGAAUCAAUCAAAAACAUCAAAUAUCCUAAAAGAUAUAAGCAAUUUAAAACAAAAACUACAAACAAGAAUUUAAAAACAGAAAAAAAAUCUGAACACCUUUUGUCCCGGUUCGUGUCACGAACCGGGACUAAAGGUCUACCCUUUAGUCCCGGUUCAAGACACCAACCGGGACUAAAUCCUCCAAACCCUUUAGUCCCGGUUCGAGACACGAACCCGGACUAAAGGUCCAAGACACGAACCGGGACUAAAUCCUCCAAACCCUUUAGUCCCGGUUCGAGACACGAACCGGGACUAAAGGUCCCAUUUGAACCGGGACUAAUGCCCGACCGGCGCCUUUGCCGCUCGAACCGGGACUAAUACUAACAUUAGUCCCGGUUCGUAAAGGAACCGGGACUAAUGUGUUUUUUGAGCUGGGACGAAAGCCCUUAUUUCUACUAGUGUUACUCUCGUUCAGGCUUGUCUCACUAAUAUUCCUUUGUUUAGGAUGCCAUUUUACCCUAUUCAUGUUGGAGUAAAAAGAAGGCUGCUUUCUUUACAGCUAGAAUGGUUUGGGAAGUUGAUGAAGAUAUCUUGUUAAUUCGAAUCCAUGUUGUAAACCCAACACCAAGGUUGUUUUGGAAAUCUGGUGCUUAUGAAUAAGGUCUUGCUUGCCAAGUGGUUCUGGAAGUUGGAAACUAAGUUUGUUUUAUGAAAACCGUGUAGUUAAACAACUAUGCCCCUAACAAAUGCAUAUCUAGGGUCGAGUCCACAAUGGGAGAUUUUCAAUUUCGAAAAAUCCUCUUAAAAUUUAAAGAUCUUUUCUAUCAAUGUUGUAAGAACAGCAUUGGAGAUGGAAGUAGCAGUAGCUUUUGGCAAGACUGGUGGGGUUGGUGAUAAACCACUCAAACAUGCUUGCCCUAGAUUGUAUAAUCUUAGUUUCGAUCAUAAUAUCACUGUAGUUGAUGUUUUGGUGAAAGGCUCGAAUGGAUUUACCUUUAGAAGAACAGUUUUGCUAAGCUUCACUCGACCGAGACUUCGUUAUGUCUCAGUCGAUGCUAUAGUCUUUUGAUCUUGCAUGGAGAUUCGUACAAAGAAAUUAUUUUCAGUUUUUUCUUCUUCUUAGAUACUACAUUACUUGACUGAGACUUGGUUAAGUCUGAGUCGACUAUGACCUAGCCACAACCUUAGAAGAACUCUUUAUGGGGAGUCUCUGGAAUUGUGGGCGAGUUUGAAACAGAAAUGUGAAGAAGUUCAAAUGGGAAAGGGUAAAGACAAAAUGGAAUGGACUUUUACUUUUUUUUAGAAAAGGAGGCAUAGCCCCGGCCUCUGUAUCGAGAGAUGCAUGCAACCUUAUAUUAAAAUCAAAACCAGGUAUCAACAAAGUACAUAAAGGUCUAACAAAAAGUAAAUAAAAAGAUACAAGGUGUCUGUCGCGCCACAACAGGAGAGGAUAAUAGGCCCAGAUGACUAAUCAUCUAUCCUAUUAAUAUGUCGCCAUUCAAACCGGUUGAAGAUACCCUGAGCUACCAUCUCUCAUUGGACACAACCACUAACCAUAGGCUCCCUGGCUUUCAAAGGAGUGAGUAAGGACCACGUGUGGAUCAAGGCAGUAGCCCUGAAGAUAACCUGCAAAAAGUGAAUAUAGCGUUGUGUGUUAAACACUAAGUCAUUUCUGCAAUUCCAUGCAGCCCAAACUUUUUUAAAAAAUGGGUAGAAUUUCACUUCCCGGCCACUGCACCAACUAGGGAUGCAUACAACCAUUUUAGUAUGAGUACCAAGAUAAACAUGGUCCUCUAAAUUUUUUAAAUGAGUAUUAAGAUAUUUUUUAUGAGUGGUAUCACCACACGUCAAACUUGAUCCUCAAUAAAUGGAACAAAACUCCCUGUGCAUCACCUGUCAAUUCUAGGAAUUGAACUCGGGUCGUUGGGUUGCACAACCGCAUGCCCAACCACUGAGCCAAGACUCUCUUUGCAAAUGGACUUUUACUGAAGAUAGAAAUUUCACUGUGAGAUUUCAUUAUAAGAAACUGGUGGAAUCUGAAUGUAUUUCCCACAUAAAUAUAUGUGCAAAGUUAAAAUACCUGCUAGAAUUAAAGUGUUUCUUUGGCUAACGGCGAAAAAGAGAAUUCCUACUCAAGACAAUCUCUUUAGAAGGGGUUGACAUGGAAACAAAAUGUGUGUUUAUUGUGGGGAACAUAAAAGGAUUGAUCACCUUUUCUUUCAAUGCUCUCUUUCUAGACUCAUAUGGAGUUUCAUGAGAAGUGAUUUUGAUUUAAAUUCCACUCCGAAUAACCUAACUAAAUGUUUUGGAAGUUGGAUUAAGAGAUUCCAAUGCAUGAUUAAAAAGUUUGCAUGAGUUGCGAUUUCUGUUUUUUUGGACUCUAUCGGGAUGCAGGAAUGAUGUUAUCUUUGAGAUGAACAUUAUUAGUGACCCCAUGGUCUUAGUGAAGCUGUUAUGCUAUUAGAUUUCUAUUGCAGAUAAAGGAGGGAAAUCGAAAGGUGCUGACGCAGCAGGCAAGGCUCAUCAAGCAGAUAGCAAAUGAG